This 425-nucleotide ribosomal RNA is filed under the name uncultured bacterium. Its description in RNAcentral is "partial 16S ribosomal RNA". It matches the Rfam family "Bacterial small subunit ribosomal RNA", at positions 354 to 796 of the family's 1533-position model. The record is from RNAcentral.
GUGGGGAAUCUUGCGCAAUGGGCGAAAGCCUGACGCAGCAACGCCGCGUGCGGGAUGAAGGCCUUCGGGUUGUAAACCGCUUUCAGCAGGGACGAAAAUGACGGUGCCUGCAGAAGAAGCUCCGGCUAACUACGUGCCAGCAGCCGCGGGAAUACGUAGGGAGCAAGCGUUGUCCGGAUUUAUUGGGCGUAAAGAGCUCGUAGGCGGUUUCGUAAGUCGAGUGUGAAAAAUCUGGGCUUAACCCAGUGGAGCACUCGAUACUGCGAUGACUUGAGUCUGGUAGAGGAGUGUGGAAUUCCUGGUGUAGCGGUGAAAUGCGCAGAUAUCAGGAGGAACACCAACGGCGAAGGCAGCACUCUGGGCCAGUACUGACGCUGAGGAGCGAAAGCGUGGGGAGCAAACAGGAUUAGAUACCCUAGUAGUCC